Molecule: long non-coding RNA, 1657 nt
Organism: Homo sapiens (human)
Lineage: Eukaryota; Metazoa; Chordata; Mammalia; Primates; Hominidae
Gene: DDX11L2
Product: DEAD/H-box helicase 11 like 2 (pseudogene)
Source: Ensembl
GUUAACUUGCCGUCAGCCUUUUCUUUGACCUCUUCUUUCUGUUCAUGUGUAUUUGCUGUCUCUUAGCCCAGACUUCCCGUGUCCUUUCCACCGGGCCUUUGAGAGGUCACAGGGUCUUGAUGCUGUGGUCUUCAUCUGCAGGUGUCUGACUUCCAGCAACUGCUGGCCUGUGCCAGGGUGCAAGCUGAGCACUGGAGUGGAGUUUUCCUGUGGAGAGGAGCCAUGCCUAGAGUGGGAUGGGCCAUUGUUCAUCUUCUGGCCCCUGUUGUCUGCAUGUAACUUAAUACCACAACCAGGCAUAGGGGAAAGAUUGGAGGAAAGAUGAGUGAGAGCAUCAACUUCUCUCACAACCUAGGCCAGUGUGUGGUGAUGCCAGGCAUGCCCUUCCCCAGCAUCAGGUCUCCAGAGCUGCAGAAGACGACGGCCGACUUGGAUCACACUCUUGUGAGUGUCCCCAGUGUUGCAGAGGCAGGGCCAUCAGGCACCAAAGGGAUUCUGCCAGCAUAGUGCUCCUGGACCAGUGAUACACCCGGCACCCUGUCCUGGACACGCUGUUGGCCUGGAUCUGAGCCCUGGUGGAGGUCAAAGCCACCUUUGGUUCUGCCAUUGCUGCUGUGUGGAAGUUCACUCCUGCCUUUUCCUUUCCCUAGAGCCUCCACCACCCCGAGAUCACAUUUCUCACUGCCUUUUGUCUGCCCAGUUUCACCAGAAGUAGGCCUCUUCCUGACAGGCAGCUGCACCACUGCCUGGCGCUGUGCCCUUCCUUUGCUCUGCCCGCUGGAGACGGUGUUUGUCAUGGGCCUGGUCUGCAGGGAUCCUGCUACAAAGGUGAAACCCAGGAGAGUGUGGAGUCCAGAGUGUUGCCAGGACCCAGGCACAGGCAUUAGUGCCCGUUGGAGAAAACAGGGGAAUCCCGAAGAAAUGGUGGGUCCUGGCCAUCCGUGAGAUCUUCCCAGGGCAGCUCCCCUCUGUGGAAUCCAAUCUGUCUUCCAUCCUGCGUGGCCGAGGGCCAGGCUUCUCACUGGGCCUCUGCAGGAGGCUGCCAUUUGUCCUGCCCACCUUCUUAGAAGCGAGACGGAGCAGACCCAUCUGCUACUGCCCUUUCUAUAAUAACUAAAGUUAGCUGCCCUGGACUAUUCACCCCCUAGUCUCAAUUUAAGAAGAUCCCCAUGGCCACAGGGCCCCUGCCUGGGGGCUUGUCACCUCCCCCACCUUCUUCCUGAGUCAUUCCUGCAGCCUUGCUCCCUAACCUGCCCCACAGCCUUGCCUGGAUUUCUAUCUCCCUGGCUUGGUGCCAGUUCCUCCAAGUCGAUGGCACCUCCCUCCCUCUCAACCACUUGAGCAAACUCCAAGACAUCUUCUACCCCAACACCAGCAAUUGUGCCAAGGGCCAUUAGGCUCUCAGCAUGACUAUUUUUAGAGACCCCGUGUCUGUCACUGAAACCUUUUUUGUGGGAGACUAUUCCUCCCAUCUGCAACAGCUGCCCCUGCUGACUGCCCUUCUCUCCUCCCUCUCAUCCCAGAGAAACAGGUCAGCUGGGAGCUUCUGCCCCCACUGCCUAGGGACCAACAGGGGCAGGAGGCAGUCACUGACCCCGAGACGUUUGCAUCCUGCACAGCUAGAGAUCCUUUAUUAAAAGCACACUGUUGGUUUCUG